Long non-coding RNA from Nematolebias whitei (Rio pearlfish), 176 nucleotides. RefSeq lists it as uncharacterized. The record is from RefSeq and is a predicted model, not a curated record. NCBI's taxonomy places the organism in Eukaryota, Metazoa, Chordata, Actinopteri, Cyprinodontiformes, Rivulidae. The transcript has 3 exons.
GGGACAAUCUGAAGGUCCCUCAGCUCCAGAACCUGCUCUUGAACCAUCACCAGAAGUGGUAUCUGCAAAUGAGGCCUCUCAGGAUUCAGAGAGAGAGACAGCCAAAAAGGACUAAGCUGAGUGGAGCAUCACCAAAAUAACGACUCUUUAAGAGAACUGGAAGGAAAACAGGAUGA